Molecule: long non-coding RNA, 614 nt
Organism: Anguilla anguilla (European eel)
Lineage: Eukaryota; Metazoa; Chordata; Actinopteri; Anguilliformes; Anguillidae
Exons: 3
Source: RefSeq, a predicted model, not a curated record
CCAAAAGCCUCCAAAGUAUACAACAAAAAAAAGGGUUUCCAGAAAGGAAACUAGGUCAAUGUUUUUUUGGUGUUCCUGAUUUGUCAGCUUCCAUAUUUACCAAGUGUGGUUCCACUUAAAGGCUUAUUCUGCACUGGUAGCUCGUGCAGAAAGGCCUACAUCAAAAGAAGGCCGCUGCAGGAAUCCCUGGUGUUUUUUUAGACCAUAAACCCAGGGAAAGUGGUUUGUUGGCCUUUAUGUAACGCAUGCGAUGGAGGUCGAACCAAACCUACGGGUCAAACUAACAAGAGAACAAAAUAUUGGGUGGAAACGCUCUGGACAUUUGUGCCCGGCUGGUUUCCAGCACAGAAUGUAUGUUCGUUCUCAGGAGAAGAAUGCAGUCAGCACCUUCCCGUGCGAACGUUCUGUGUUCGCUCACCUCAAAGAUUACCGCUCGACUGCCGUUAAUUCGGCUGCCUGUGAGUCUACGGCAGGCCUUGGCUGUGAUUGGCCGAAGCCUCGGGCGUGACAGGCCGAGGGCUCGACCGGGAUUGGCUGAGGGCUCGCAGGCGCGUGGUCCUGGCUGCGUCCACUGACCCCUUGUGUUAAGCCUGCUUUGGGAUGCGUUUACACGA